UACGUAGGGGGCAAGCGUUGUCCGGAUUCACUGGGCGUAAAGAGCUCGCAGGCGGCUUGGCAAGUCGGGUGUGAAACCUCCAGGCUCAACCUGGAGACGCCACCCGAUACUGCAAUGGCUAGAGUCCGGUAGGGGACCACGGAAUACCUGGUGUAGCGGUGAAAUGCGCAGAUAUCAGGUGGAACACCGGUGGCGAAGGCGGCAUCCUGGACCAACACUGACACUGAGGAGCGAAAGCCAGGGGAGCAAACGGG
This 254-nucleotide ribosomal RNA is filed under the name uncultured bacterium. RNAcentral describes it as "partial 16S ribosomal RNA". It matches the Rfam family "Bacterial small subunit ribosomal RNA", at positions 524 to 776 of the family's 1533-position model. The record is from RNAcentral.